RNAcentral lists this transfer RNA (70 nucleotides) under Dipodomys ordii (Ord's kangaroo rat). It matches the Rfam family "tRNA". From Rfam's summary of the family: Transfer RNA (tRNA) molecules are approximately 80 nucleotides in length. Their secondary structure includes four short double-helical elements and three loops (D, anti-codon, and T loops). Further hydrogen bonds mediate the characteristic L-shaped molecular structure. tRNAs have two regions of fundamental functional importance: the anti-codon, which is responsible for specific mRNA codon recognition, and the 3' end, to which the tRNAs corresponding amino acid is attached (by aminoacyl-tRNA synthetases). tRNAs cope with the degeneracy of the genetic code in two manners: having more than one tRNA (with a specific anti-codon) for a particular amino acid; and 'wobble' base-pairing, i.e. permitting non-standard base-pairing at the 3rd anti-codon position. Lineage: Eukaryota; Metazoa; Chordata; Mammalia; Rodentia; Heteromyidae. The record is from Rfam by way of RNAcentral.
UGGGAUGUAGCUCAGUGGUAAAGCACUUGCCUAGCAAGCACAACGUCCUGGGUUCGAUCCCCAGUACCAA